UAUUUUUUCCAUCAUUGCUGUAAUUUUUAAUACGGAAACUUGGAAGGAGAUCGGUAUAUUUCUAACAGUCAACGCAGCCAGAACUAUGUUUUUCUUUAGGAGCUUCACUUUUAAAUCUAAACAAUGUCUGGGACCAUCGGGAACUAUCCAAACUCAGCUGGUGAGCACAACGUUCGAUGUCCAAAUACCCAGGAAAAUUUGCCUGAUUCAUCAACAAAAUUGUGGCAGCUACUCCUUAUAGCCAGACCACCCGUUACCAACUUUAUUCGAGGCCCAACAAUUCUUUUAGGAGAUGGAUAUUAUGCAGUUCGUGCGGUUGCCCCAAAGCGAAUUAGAACCGAAAAUAUGCAGUUAGUGUGUGGACAACGUAUACCUAAACAUGAAAUUUUGAGAGAAUGUCAUGUUCGUUCAUUUUUACUAGAAUGUCUACAGGAAAUUUUGAGAACGCAGUUCAAAUGUAGUACAUACUAUACCAUUUGCAGAGAAUGAUAGAAGAAAAAAAUCUUAACUUAUCAUCAAAACGAAAUGCCGUCUUACAAGUGACUAUAUGUGAUCCCUGAACAACUGGCUAUCGGAAAAGCUCGAGCACCUAAUGGAGUUCUCUCACGCUAUUAUACAAUUAUUAACCAAACAUAUUUCCGAUAGUUUUUAAAAGUAUUAUUAAACUCUUCAGAGAAACUAUCAGAACUGUUAUGGUUAAGGUUUCUAACACAUCAGUAUAACCCGUUUCGAUGCCUAAAACAGUAUAGAUAUCUAUGAAAGCAUGGGUACUCAUUUUUUAAUCUUGUUUUCUUGGCCCAUUUGAUAUACGCUAUAGAAAUAACAAGAAACUAUGC
Uranotaenia lowii is the source of this 836-nucleotide long non-coding RNA. RefSeq lists it as uncharacterized. The record is from RefSeq and is a predicted model, not a curated record. The transcript is spliced from 3 exons. NCBI's taxonomy places the organism in Eukaryota, Metazoa, Arthropoda, Insecta, Diptera, Culicidae.